UACGUAGGGGGCAAGCGUUGUCCGGAUUUAUUGGGCGUAAAGAGCGUGUAGGCGGCCAUUCAGGUCAGCUGUGAAAACUCGAGGCUCAACCUCGAGACGUCGGUUGAAACCGUUUGGCUAGAGUCCGGAAGAGGAGAGUGGAAUUCCCGGUGUAGCGGUGAAAUGCGCAGAUAUCGGGAAGAACACCCGUGGCGAAGGCGGCUCUCUGGGACGGUACUGCACGCUGAGACGCGGAAAGCGUGGGAGCGAACGA
This 253-nucleotide ribosomal RNA is filed under the name uncultured bacterium. RNAcentral's name for it is "partial 16S ribosomal RNA". It matches the Rfam family "Bacterial small subunit ribosomal RNA", at positions 524 to 775 of the family's 1533-position model. The record is from RNAcentral.